CCGGUUUUGUAUAGUUGAGAGAUCCCGCAUAUCUGGUUUUGCGGUUUGAGGAUGUUUUCGUAUCCCGAUGACAAGUUGAGGAACCUUCGGUGUACUUUUUCCAUCCCCUUUCCUCCCCCUCUUGCCACGAACCCUUCGCCGUCGCCGGCGAUCCCACCGACUCCCGGCCACCUCUGCUUCCCCGGCGAUGUCUCUGCUUUGCGCUCCGCCGUCAAUGCGCGUUGCCCGGGCUAUGCGUCGCCUUCUCCCUGUGUCCUUGUGCGACCCGAGCCGCAAAUCCAGGCCCCAGAGCCGCAGGAUUGACAGAACUCAGGGAGAUCUCCUGAUCCGGUGGUUGUUCGGUUCGCUGCCCCCUCCUUGCAUUGAUAAAGGAUUUUGUUGCAAACCACUAGUUAUGGACCCAUGAAACGGACGAGGAGGGCAUCUUACUGAAAUAGUGCAACGAGGAGUACUCUGCACACGGUGGUUGGAUGGAGAUAUAUCAUAGCAACAACUGAACAAGUAUCAUCAUAAGACAGUUCUGUGUCCUCUCCUUGGCAUCGAUGAAGGCUUCUAUUAUGCGAUCCCACCUGGUAUUGAUGCACUGAAUGAAAUGCAAAGGAAUUUUCAAACGCAUUGUACAGCCUAUGAGGGGUCCAGUGUUUGAGGCUACAUAAUAUGAAUGAUAAAGAUAAAUCAAGGCUAUCACAGAACACAGAAUAAGGUAAUUAUCAAGUCAUUGUCUUUGAGCACAAUUCUGUAUGUGCUAUUCAUUUUACAAGUAAGGUGCAUGCUAGCUAGUACUCAGGAUCACUGAGCAAUACGUAGGCUAUCUUUCAAACAUGUGCCAACUGGGGGAUGGAAGAAGUAUCCUCUUCUGGGAGGAUUGCUGGAUGCAGGAGGGAGGUAUACGAGCCAUUGCGCCUUCCAUCUUCGAACAUGUUCCUGUUCGAAUCCGCAAACGCAGGACGGUCGCGGAAGCACUGCUCAAUAAAGCAUGGAUCAGAGACAUCAGCGGGGCACUUGGAGUUCAGGCAAUCCGAGAAUACCUCAAGCUCUGGUCACUUCUGCAAAAUGCUGGUUGCAAUCCCUCUGAGCAAGAUGUGAUCUGUUGGAAAUGGGACAGCUCAGGACAAUACUCCUCCAAGUCGGCAUACAGAGCAUUAUUUCUAGGUCGUGUUCCAUUUCAAUCAGCACCGAUAUGGAAAUCUCUAGCGCCGCCCAGAUGCUGAUUCUUUCUUUGGCUGGUCGUAUUGGACAGAUGCUGGACAGCGGAUCGACUACGUCGUCGUGGCCUACCACAUCCUGACAGAUGCGUACUUUGUGAUCAACACGACGAGAGUAUUGAUCACAUUCUUGUUGGCUUGACAGAUGCGUACUUUGUGAUCAACACGACGAGAGUAUUGAUCACAUUCUUGUUGGCUGCCCAGAAUCCAGACAACUUUGGUGGUGGGUGUUAAGGGCAAUUGGGCACCCUGAGUGUCUGCCGGUGGAUGAACCAUCAUUCUACCAAUGGCUCUGCAGCAGUCGAAUAAGAAUUUGAGAGCAUCUUCGGCGGGGCUUUGACACGGUAGUCACGCUAGUGGCAUGGACAAUUUGGAAAGAAAGAAACGGCCGGAUAUUCAAUCAGCAACAAAGGACCUGGGUGGACAUCGUGAAGGGAAUGGCAGCAGAGGCCACGCUAUGGCGUCAAGCAAACCAAGCCAUCCCAAUCUUUAGGAGGGAAUUUGGUAGCCAAAACAGACCGCGAGACGUACACCUUUGAUUUCCUGCUUGUAUCCUGUCUCAGUCCCCUGCUGCUUUGUGUUUGUCUGUAAAUAACUUUUAUUCCUCUUAAUACAAAAAUGCGCUCCUCGCGUA
This is a non-coding RNA of Oryza sativa Japonica Group (Japanese rice), 1839 nucleotides long. The record is from RefSeq and is a predicted model, not a curated record. NCBI's taxonomy places the organism in Eukaryota, Viridiplantae, Streptophyta, Magnoliopsida, Poales, Poaceae.